Molecule: ribosomal RNA, 465 nt
Filed under: uncultured bacterium
Lineage: Bacteria
Description: partial 16S ribosomal RNA
Rfam family: Bacterial small subunit ribosomal RNA
Source: RNAcentral
AAUGAACGUUGGCGGCGUGGAUUAGGCAUGCAAGUCGAGCGAGAACCCCGCAAGGGGGGACAGCGGCGAAAGGGACAGUAAGGUGUAGAUUAUCUGCCCUCAGGUCCGGGAUAGCUGCGGGAAACUGCAGGUAAUACCGGAUAACAUCUCCGGAUCAAAGGUGUGAUUCCGCCUGAGGAUGAGUCUGCAUCCUAUUAGCUAGUUGGUGGGGUAAUGGCCUACCAAGGCAUUGAUGGGUAGCAGGUGUGAGAGCACGACCUGCGUCAUUGGGACUGAGACACUGCCCCGACACCUACGGGUGGCUGCAGUCGAGAAUCUUCGGCAAUGGGCGCAAGCCUGACCGAGCGACGCCGCGUGUGGGAUGACGGCCUUCGGGUUGUAAACCACUGUCAGAGGGGAUGAAAUGCAGGUGGGUUCUCCCAUCUGUUUGACAUAGCCUCAGAGGAAGGACGGGCUAAGUUCGUG